CCGCCUUUCUACACACACGCGCACACUCGAACCUCUCUACAUAGGCUCACUCAUGGCUAGUUCUGGGAAGGGCAUUUGGCAGGGAGAGAUGUUGGGUCUAGAUUUGCUUCCAGUGAAAGUGACCAGAACCAGUCUUCCUCCCAUAGAUUAAUGGAGAAGUAGACUACUACAACAGACCUCAGAACUACAACUUCCUCCUUAAGUGUUAUGGCGAAGCAUAAUGAUCCCGAUAUAAGGUUCAAUAAGAUGGCCCACCAGGAGAUAGGUCUGGUCCAGCCUGUCCCUGUGGCCAACACCCAGACCAGGGGACAGUGGUCCAGCAAGCUGGAGUUCCUCCUGGCUGUGGCCGGACAGAUCAUCGGCCUGGGGAAUGUAUGGCGGUUCCCAUACCUGUGCUACAAAAAUGGGGGAGGGGUGUUCUUCAUCCCUUAUGUGCUUUUCCUGUUCACCUGUGGCAUUCCCCUCUUUCUUCUGGAGACCUCCCUGGGCCAGUACACCACGCAGGGCAGCAUCACCUGCUGGAGGAAGAUCUGCCCCCUGUUUGAAGGACUGGGUUAUGGUGGUCAGGUGGUAGUUCUGUAUUCCAGCAUCUAUUACAUCAUCAUCCUGGCCUGGGCCUUCUUCUACCUCUUCUCCUCGUUCAGCUCUGAGCUCCCCUGGGCCAGUUGUAGAAACAGCUGGAACACAGCAACCUGCGUGGAGUUUGACAGAAGAGUAGUAGGCUAUCUAAACUGGACAAUAACAGGAAACGCAACAUCGCCAGUGAGAGAGUUCUGGGAGAGAAGAGUUUUGAAUCUCACAGACAGUGUCUACAAGCUUGGAAAUAUUCGCUGGGACCUAUCUUUGUGUCUUCUAUUGUCCUGGAUUAUCUGUUACUUCUGUGUCUGGAAAGGAGUGAAGUCUACUGGGAAGGUGGUCUAUUUCACUGCCACCUUCCCCUAUGUGAUGCUGUUGGUAUUGCUAGUUCGUGGACUCACACUGCCAGGGGCCAUAGAUGGUAUCAAGUUCUACCUUUACCCAGAUCCAGCCCGCCUCGCUGACCCACAGGUGUGGAUGGAUGCUGGAACACAAAUCUUCUACUCCUAUGCGAUCUGCAUCGGCUGCCUGACCGCCCUUGGCAGCUAUAACAAGUAUGACAACAACUGUUACAAGGACUGUGUGUACCUGUGCCUUUUGAACAGCGGAACCAGCUUCGUGGCUGGUUUUUCUAUCUUCUCUGUACUGGGCUUCAUGGCUUAUGAACAGAGGACAGACAUCGCAACCGUGGCCGAAUCAGGUCCUGGCCUGGCGUUCAUCGCCUACCCUCGUGCUGUGGCCAUGAUGCCAGUACCCCAACUCUGGGCCAUUUUUUUCUUCAUCAUGAUCAUCCUACUGGGGUUAGAUAGUCAGUUCGUAGGUUUGGAGGCUCUGAUGACAGCUAUCUCAGACAUGUAUCCUUCUUUCUUCCUGGUUGGUCAUCGGCGUAAAAUACUCCUCCUCAUCAUUAGUGUGGGUAGCUUCUUCAUCGGCCUGGUCAUGGUCACAGAGAACUUUGGGGGACAUAACUCGUUCUGCAGAAUUGUUGGCAGAUUCUACUUAUUCCAUAAGGACUUGGGCCACUGGACACACUUAAGAUCAUUGUCUGAGUGUUUUGUACACUCUGGAGGUAGAUUAUCGAGUCUUAUUGUUGUUCUCAAUAAGAAUGUACUUUAUGAAUUAUUUCUCUCCACACCCUCCUUUGUUUGCAGGGAGGCCUGUAUAUCUUCCAGCUGUUUGAUUACUAUGCCUGCAGUGGGAUGACUCUCCUUCUCUUUGCCAUACUACAGUCAGUGUGUGUCAGCUGGGUUUAUGGUGCAGAUCGUCUGUACGAUAAUAUAGAGGACAUGAUCGGUUAUCGACCAUUACCCCUCAUUAAGUACUGUUUGAAGUAUAUCACUCCAGUCAUCUGCACUGCUACGUUUGUCUUCUCCUUGAUUAGGUUUACCCCGCUAAAGUUCAACAACACCUUUGAGUAUACUUGGUGGGGUUACGCCAUUGGCUGGUGGUUCACCCUCUCCUCCACACUCAUAGUUCCUCUGUGGAUGGUGUACAUUGUGAGUGUCACUCCUGGUACACUGCGACAGAGACUGUCUAUCCUCACCACGCCCUCAGAGGAUCUCCCUAUUACCAAGGCCCAGAAAAAGGCCCUCCUGGCCAAGCAGUCCGAGCAGGACAGACCUCUGGGGGACAUGAAGAUACCAGCGUGGGGCCACAAUCUCAUAGACAGAGACACUCUCUCGCUCGCCCACCAUCCCUACAGGCCUGGAGACAAGCAGGUCCAGCCAGUCACUCACUCUCCUAAAGGUUGUGACACUGUGACACUGUGUUUGGUCUGAGUGGGUUAGGAAAGUAUAUAUCAUCCACCACAAGCCUUUUUCUUGGGAGAGCGUUGUGGGCAAGUUCUUUCAAAACACACACUACUUCCUGUGUGUAGCAUUAUUAAGGAGACGUAGCAGCACUGGUUCUGGGAAAGUCUUGGAUGUGGAAAUAGUUUGGACCAGAACACACUGAAGUGAGAUAGUGAGUAAGGUCCAGCACAAAAGAUGGACCUUUGAAGUUGUGCUUUAACCAGGACUUGGGUCAUGUAGGACACAGUAUUUCAUCGAAAUUCAUGACUUUCUGUCACCGAACAUAGUGGAAACAAAGGCAUAUGACGAUCAUGCUCUUGGUCACAGUUGGUUAAAUGAUUCUGUAUAUACAUGGAAUCAAACCCUUUUUAAUAAAGAAACGUAAUAUUUGA
Molecule: RNA transcript, 2758 nt
Organism: Oncorhynchus kisutch (coho salmon)
Lineage: Eukaryota; Metazoa; Chordata; Actinopteri; Salmoniformes; Salmonidae
Gene name: sodium- and chloride-dependent GABA transporter 2
Exons: 15
Source: RefSeq, a predicted model, not a curated record